RNAcentral lists this long non-coding RNA (569 nucleotides) under Fukomys damarensis (Damara mole-rat). RNAcentral's name for it is "lncRNA (ENSFDAG00000028996.1)". The record is from RNAcentral. Lineage: Eukaryota; Metazoa; Chordata; Mammalia; Rodentia; Bathyergidae.
CUUGCAGGAAGGUGUGGGUGUGUGGUUUUGUGCGUGUGUGCAUGCGUGCGUGCAUGUGUAACAGUGCUGUGGGCCAGCAUCUAAUAGCUUUAGAGCUACAUCACGAUGUCAGAAGUGAUUCUGAGGUAGCAAGCAAAGUGGUUCCUCACUACUGUCCGCAGACUCCCCCACGUUGUUGGAGGAUUCCUUUCCCCCAUUUUGUACUGACUUUGGUGCACUUCCUUUGGACUCCUCCUGAGAAGAGACCUCCUCCUCCUUCCUUGAAGCCUCGUCCACCAUUGCGAAGGCUCUCUGGGUUUCGCUAAGGACCAGAAGUAGCAAGGCGUGUGGAGGCCGGAGACCGCGGUUUGAAUCCUGGCCCUGGAUUGAGGCUCUCCUGCUGCUCAGCCUCUCCAGACCCCAACUGUUCCCCCUCAGUAAGACAAUGAAUUGUAAGAGCGCCCGCCUCAAAGUGCUUCGAAGGUGAGAUAAAGUGAUCCGCACAGAACCGUGCGGUGAGAUAAAGUGAUCCGCACAGAACCGUGCGGUUUGUCGUCCUGACAAUAGCAGUAAAACAUCGUAAAGACCGC